UUGCUGAUGACGCGAGGACCUCAGCUUGCAAACUUUGCAAAUAUUUGAUUCUCUUGUUCCCAAGCGUGCUUCAGUGUGACUGGCCGCCCGGCAUUGUUGAUAGUGAAGUUUCGAUGGUUAUACUCCAAUCCCCGAUUCAUCCUGCGAUUUUCUCGUGUCAUAAUGGCCUUUCACCAGGACUCAAUCCAUGGACCUAAAAUUGUGACGGUUCGGGAAGCUAAUCGGUUCUGCUCUAAGAGUUCUCCACGGGGAGAGAAAUAAUGGACAAGUAUCCGGGAUCGAUACCGGGCGCACAACUUAAAAGUGAGCUUGGUCCAGAAGAUUCUACGAAAGAUAAACAUGAAUACAGAGCAGAUUUGUGUCAAGAUGGCAUCAUUCACAUCGGGUCCAAACUUGAUCAGCAUCAGCCAAUCACGUAUCUGCAAAAUGAAGAUGUCAAAUUAUUCGCCAGGAGUUGGGGCAACAUCGAUGAUCCAUUAGUGCAAAAGCCAUUAGUGCUUUUGGAGAGACUUGAUGCCAAAUUCAUGGACAGCCCAACGAGCCCUUUACCCGCUGAGCGCAAACACGUAACUUUGUCUUUGUUAAAAAACAUAAAAGUAGAAGAGGCAGAGGACGAUAAAUAUCCACCUAGAGAACAUUCGAGUAAGAUCGCUAUCAUCCACUUGGUUCCAAAAAAGGAAAUUGACAUCGAAUUUCCCAACAGGGUCGUGACAAACGAGCUGCCUGAUUCAAACGCCGAAGUUAAGUUACAACAUGAGCUUUUUUCCGACAGCACUGGAGAAUACUUUGACAAUGGUCAUCAAGAGAUUAGCACACAGGGCUCAUACAGUUUGAACAAUCCAAUUGUUGUCCUCGAAAACUUGAUCCAGAGUUGGUUCGCAGCCAUUUGA
RNAcentral lists this long non-coding RNA (890 nucleotides) under Bemisia tabaci. RNAcentral's name for it is "lncRNA ENSSSA1NGG009602". Lineage: Eukaryota; Metazoa; Arthropoda; Insecta; Hemiptera; Aleyrodidae. The record is from RNAcentral.